Molecule: ribosomal RNA, 305 nt
Filed under: uncultured bacterium
Lineage: Bacteria
Description: bacterial SSU rRNA
Rfam family: Bacterial small subunit ribosomal RNA
Source: RNAcentral
CCUACGGGGCGCAGCAGUGGGGAAUAUUGCGCAAUGGGCGAAAGCCUGGCGCAGCGACGCCGCGUGAGCGAGGAAGUACCUCGGUAUGUAAAGCUCUGUCAGCAGGGAAGAAAAUGACAGUACCUGAUCAAGAAGCCCCGGCUAACUACGUGCCAGCAGCCGCGGUAAUACGUAGGGGGCAAGCGUUAUCCGGAUUCACUGGGCGUAAAGGGAGCGCAGGCGGCACGGCAAGUCUGAUGUGAAAACCCGGGGCUCAACCCCGGGACUGCAUUGGAAACUGCCGGGCUGGAGUGUCGGAAGGGUAA